AAAAUAUCUCAUUAAACUCAUCAAAGAACUUCUAACGUUGAAAGCUUCAAGGAGUAAGAUUUGCAAAAGAAGAAAAAUGCAGUUAGCACUUCAUGGCUACAUAUAUUUCUACAUACAAGUGCAAAAUGAUGAAAAACAUUGAGACCAUGAAAACACAAGAAGCAGCCACAAAAGCCUCAGCUCCUUCUACUUUCAGAAAUCCUGAGUUGAACUGAAUAUCUGCGGGAGACAGUUGAAGAUGAGUCACUCUGACCUCUGUACCUAAAAAUGUAGACAUUAAGUCCUUACCCAUGCAGAAUGUCCUUCCUGAAAUCUGAUAUAAUAAAAUUUAUCUUUAUUUUCUACUCUAUGG
Pan paniscus (pygmy chimpanzee) is the source of this 352-nucleotide long non-coding RNA. Lineage: Eukaryota; Metazoa; Chordata; Mammalia; Primates; Hominidae. The record is from Ensembl.